RNAcentral lists this unclassified non-coding RNA (539 nucleotides) under Hevea brasiliensis (rubber tree). Lineage: Eukaryota; Viridiplantae; Streptophyta; Magnoliopsida; Malpighiales; Euphorbiaceae. The record is from RNAcentral.
AUAAAGAAGCACUUGAGUGUUUCAAGUUUUUCCAACAGAACCAGCUUCUUGAGUUUUCGAGACAUCUUUUUAGCAGUCAAGUGCUCUUCUUCACUUUCACGAAUUCCCAACUUCUUCAGUUUGGGCAUGCCUUUGAAGAUGCGCCUUUUGAUACUACCAAAGGUAAUGUAAGAGAGGGUUUGUAGCUUGGUUAAUCCCAGAUUAGAGCGACUAAACUCACUCGGAUGAUAAGAAAAGGUUGGCCACCUGGUUAAUCCAAGAUUAGAGCGACUAGACGUGCCUUGAUGAUCUUUUUGUUCAGAUUGAACAUAACGAAAGUAGCAGCAUUUCCUGAAAUAGAGAUGCCUUAAUGGUUCAAUCUCCCAUAUCUCUGCCGGCAAACAAAUACUAGCCUGGUGACUGUAACGAAUUAGUGUCUGAAGAUACCUAAGAUUGCAUAUUGAUGGAGGGAGCAUAGUAAAACUGGCAAGGGCAAGAUACCUCAGUGAAAAUAGUUGCCAUAUUUCACAUGGUAGAUGGUCAAAUGGCUGAAAAGAUAU